GCGGGGGAAGAUGGCGGUCCUGGGGUAGAGUUUGCAAGCUUUCUGACUAGGCUAGUCGAGUAACUAUUCGGGUCAUGGCGUCAAACUCAACUAAGUCUUUCCUGGCAGAUGCCGGCUAUGGCGAACAGGAACUGGAUGCCAACUCUGCCCUUAUGGAAUUGGACAAAGGCCUAAGAUCUGGCAAACUUGGUGAACAGUGUGAAGCAGUUGUUCGCUUUCCCAGACUUUUUCAGAAGUAUCCAUUCCCUAUUCUUAUCAAUUCUGCAUUCCUAAAGUUAGCUGAUGUUUUCAGAGUUGGGUAAGUCUUUUUAAAUUCUCGAUGUCCUAAAGUACUUUGUUCAUAUUUCUUGUUUUAUAUUGUGGUCUUUUUCUUUUUGCCUUUUAGUACUUCCACCUGGUUAGUUACCAUUAGUGGACACACAUGACUGUGUGCAGCACAUCAGUGUGAGAUUUAAUGACAUUUAAAGCAAAAUGAAGAGUAUAAUUUAGACGAUACUUAUUUCUUUGGAGAACAGAAUAAAAUUAAGACAACCUUAAUAUUUUACUGUGUACUUCAGGAAAAUCUGUGUCUUUGUACAGAUUGUUUUUGAGAAGUUUCUGAUUUAAUUUAAUAAUUUAUUUUAUAGCAUGAGAUGCAUGUCUGUGAAGUACCUGAAACAUGUAAGCACUGAAUACAUGCCUAUUUGCUUUUUCUCCCCCGACCAUUCCAUCUUCUGCUGCUUUCUGCCAUUCUCCAUGCACUCGUGCUCAUAUGCACACAAUACCACACUGGAAGGAGAAAAGAAGUUGUGGAAUAAGCCCAAGAGAAGAGAAAGACCGUCUGAUUUCCUGGCCUUGGUUAUAAUAUAGUUUGAGGAGAUUUAGUUCUGCUCUAGGUCUUCUCCUUGUGUCACUGCCAUUUUGGUGUCUUGCAGCAAGACUGUAGCAUAGCUCACUGCUUAUGCUUAAUGUCCACCUAAAGUACAAACUUUAACUCUUUUAGUAGUUAAACAAAUAAUGUUAAGAUUG
RNAcentral lists this long non-coding RNA (1008 nucleotides) under Homo sapiens (human). Its description in RNAcentral is "HSALNT0021349". The record is from RNAcentral. Lineage: Eukaryota; Metazoa; Chordata; Mammalia; Primates; Hominidae.